GNAUGGGGGAACCCUGAUGCAGCGACGCCGCGUGAAGGAAGAAGUAUCUCGGNCANNUAAACUUCUAUCAGACAGGGNAAGAUAGUGACGGUACCUGACUAAGAAGCUCCGGCUAAAUACGUGCCAGCAGCCGCGGUAAUACGUAUGGAGCAAGCGUUAUCCGGAUUUACUGGGUGUAAAGGGAGUGUAGGUGGCCAUGCAAGUCAGAAGUGAAAAUCCGGGGCUCAACCCCGGAACUGCUUUUGAAACUGUAAGGCUGGAGUGCAGGAGGGGUGAGUGGAAUUCCUAGUGUAGCGGUGAAAUGCGUAGAUAUUAGGAGGAACACCAGUGGCGAAGGCGGCUCACUGGACUGUAACUGACACUGAGGCUCGAAAGCGUGGGGAGCAAACAGGAUUAGAUACCCUGGUAGUCCAAGGGCGAAUUC
This 424-nucleotide ribosomal RNA is filed under the name uncultured bacterium. RNAcentral's name for it is "SSU rRNA". It matches the Rfam family "Bacterial small subunit ribosomal RNA", at positions 369 to 808 of the family's 1533-position model. The record is from RNAcentral.